GACGAACGCUGGCGGCGUGCUUAACACAUGCAAGUCGAACGGAAAGGCCUGCUUUCCCUUGUGGAUUGCGGGUACUCGAGUGGCGAACGGGUGAGUAACACGUGAGUGAUCUGCCCCCAACUUGGGUAUAAGCCUGGGAAACUGGGUCUAAUUCCCGAUAGGACUGCAGGGUGGUGCCUGUGGUGGAAAACGAUUUUCUAGUGGUUGGGGAUGAGCUCGCGGCCUAUCAGCUUGUUGGUGGGGUAAUGGCCUACCAAGGCGGCGACGGGUAGCCGGCCUGAGAGGGUGGACGGCCACAUUGGGACUGAGAUACGGCCCAGACUCCUACGGGAGGCAGCAGUGGGGAAUAUGGCACCAUGGGCGGAAGCCUGAUGCAGCGACGCCGCGUGGGGGAUGACGGCCUUCGGGUUGUAAACUCCUUUCGACCGCGAGGAAGCCACCUGGUUGGAAGGGUGGUGACGGUAGUGGUAGAAGAAGCACCGGCUAACUACGUG
This 494-nucleotide ribosomal RNA is filed under the name uncultured bacterium. RNAcentral describes it as "partial 16S ribosomal RNA". It matches the Rfam family "Bacterial small subunit ribosomal RNA", at positions 28 to 507 of the family's 1533-position model. The record is from RNAcentral.